This 87-nucleotide transfer RNA is filed under the name Albimonas pacifica. It matches the Rfam family "tRNA". Rfam says of the family: Transfer RNA (tRNA) molecules are approximately 80 nucleotides in length. Their secondary structure includes four short double-helical elements and three loops (D, anti-codon, and T loops). Further hydrogen bonds mediate the characteristic L-shaped molecular structure. tRNAs have two regions of fundamental functional importance: the anti-codon, which is responsible for specific mRNA codon recognition, and the 3' end, to which the tRNAs corresponding amino acid is attached (by aminoacyl-tRNA synthetases). tRNAs cope with the degeneracy of the genetic code in two manners: having more than one tRNA (with a specific anti-codon) for a particular amino acid; and 'wobble' base-pairing, i.e. permitting non-standard base-pairing at the 3rd anti-codon position. The record is from Rfam by way of RNAcentral. Lineage: Bacteria; Pseudomonadati; Pseudomonadota; Alphaproteobacteria; Rhodobacterales; Paracoccaceae.
GGAGACGUGGCCGAGUGGUCGAAGGCGCUCCCCUGCUAAGGGAGUAAACCCGGAAGGGUUUCGAGGGUUCGAAUCCCUUCGUCUCCG